RNAcentral lists this ribosomal RNA (497 nucleotides) under uncultured bacterium. Its description in RNAcentral is "partial 16S ribosomal RNA". It matches the Rfam family "Bacterial small subunit ribosomal RNA", at positions 28 to 507 of the family's 1533-position model. The record is from RNAcentral.
GACGAACGCUGGCGGCGUGCCUAAUACAUGCAAGUUGAGCGCUGAAGGUUGGUACUUGUACCAACUGGAUGAGCAGCGAACGGGUGAGUAACGCGUGGGGAAUCUGCCUUUGAGCGGGGGACAACAUUUGGAAACGAAUGCUAAUACCGCAUAAAAACUUUAAACACAAGUUUUAAGUUUGAAAGAUGCAAUUGCAUCACUCAAAGAUGAUCCCGCGUUGUAUUAGCUAGUUGGUGAGGUAAAGGCUCACCAAGGCGAUGAUACAUAGCCGACCUGAGAGGGUGAUCGGCCACAUUGGGACUGAGACACGGCCCAAACUCCUACGGGAGGCAGCAGUAGGGAAACUUCGGCAAUGGACGAAAGUCUGACCGAGCAACGCCGCGUGAGUGAAGAAGGUUUUCGGAUCGUAAAACUCUGUUGGUAGAGAAGAACGUUGGUGAGAGUGGAAAGCUCAUCAAGUGACGGUAACUACCCAGAAAGGGACGGCUAACUACGUG